This 640-nucleotide ribosomal RNA is filed under the name Meloidogyne sp. DHR-2019. RNAcentral's name for it is "partial large subunit ribosomal RNA". It matches the Rfam family "Eukaryotic large subunit ribosomal RNA", at positions 435 to 944 of the family's 3401-position model. Lineage: Eukaryota; Metazoa; Nematoda; Chromadorea; Rhabditida; Meloidogynidae. The record is from RNAcentral.
AAUCAUUCAGUUACAUUAUUUUUAUGUUGUGACCAUCUGAGCUCCAGAUUGGGACAGAGGGAACAGCAUAAUUUUUUGUGAUGCAUUUACUUGAUUGGUGCUUGGGGAUGUUUGAGGCAGAUUUGUUUCCGUCGUUUUGAGGCCAGCUUGCUGGUACCCAAACGGUGUUAGCAUUUUUUGUCUUGGGCAUUUGAGUAUGGCUCACGGGCAUUUAUUGGACAGAUCUGAGUGUAAGUUACGGUCGCAUGCGACACGUGCUUUUCAAUUAGUUCGGUCCAGUUAAUGCUCUCGUACUCGUUCCCCAUGUAAAAGCCGGUCAUCUAUCCGACCCGUCUUGAAACACGGACCAAGGAGUUUAUCGUGUGCGCAAGUUUUUGGGUGUUAAAAACUUAAAAGCGAAAUGAAAGUAAAUGACUCUUUAGAGUCUGAUGUGCGAUCUUGUAAAAAAGUGCAGCAUGGCCCCAUUCUAACUGUUUACAGUAGGGUGGCGGAAGAGCGUACGCGGUGAGACCCGAAAGAUGGUGAACUAUUCCUGAGCAGGACGAAGCCAGAGGAAACUCUGGUGGAAGUCCGAAGCGGUUCUGACGUGCAAAUCGAUCGUCUGACUUGGGUAUAGGGGCGAAAGACUAAUCGAACCAUC